AACGAACGCUGGCGGCAUGCCUAACACAUGCAAGUCGAACGAAGCCUUCGGGCUUAGUGGCGCACGGGUGCGUAACGCGUGGGAAUCUGCCCUUUGGUUCGGAAUAACAGUUGGAAACGACUGCUAAUACCGGAUGAUGACGAAAGUCCAAAGAUUUAUCGCCAGAGGAUGAGCCCGCGUAGGAUUAGCUAGUUGGUGUGGUAAAGGCGCACCAAGGCGACGAUCCUUAGCUGGUCUGAGAGGAUGAUUAGCCACACUGGGACUGGGACACGGCCCAGACUCCUACGGGAGGCAGCAGUGGGGAAUAUUGGACAAUGGGCGAAAGCCUGAUCCAGCAAUGCCGCGUGAGUGAUGAAGGCCCUAGGGUUGUAAAGCUCUUUUACCCGGGAUGAUAAUGACAGUACCGGGAGAAUAAGCCCCGGCUAACUCCGUGCCAGCCGCCGCCGUAA
This 449-nucleotide ribosomal RNA is filed under the name uncultured bacterium. Its description in RNAcentral is "partial 16S ribosomal RNA". It matches the Rfam family "Bacterial small subunit ribosomal RNA", at positions 29 to 523 of the family's 1533-position model. The record is from RNAcentral.